CCUACGGGAGGCAGCAGUGGGGAAUAUUGGGCAAUGGAGGAAACUCUGACCCAGCGACGCCGCGUGCGGGAUGAAGGCCUUCGGGUUGUAAACCGCUUUCAGCAGGGAAGAAGCGAAAGUGACGGUACCUGCAGAAGAAGCACCGGCUAACUAUGUGCCAGCAGCCGCGGUAAUACAUAGGGUGCAAGCGUUGUCCGGAAUUAUUGGGCGUAAAGAGCUCGUAGGUGGUUCGUCACGUCGGAUGUGAAAAUCUGGGGCUUAACCCCAGACCUGCAUUCGAUACGGGCGAGCUUGAGUAUGGUAGGGGAGUCUGGAAUUCCUGGUGUAGCGGUGGAAUGCGCAGAUAUCAGGAGGAACACCAAUGGCGAAGGCAGGACUCUGGGCCAUUACUGACACUGAGGAGCGAAAGCGUGGGGAGCGAACAGGAUUAGAUACCCUGGUAGUCCACGCCGUAAACGGUGGGCACUAGUUGUGGGGACCUUCCACGGUCUCUGCGACGCNGCUACGCAUAGUGCCCGCCGUCGGGAGGUACGAGUCGCGAAGAAUUAAACUAACGAAAGAAGUUAGACGGCGUGAGACGUGCCGAACGGACGACGACGAGGGAGGAGG
Molecule: ribosomal RNA, 609 nt
Filed under: uncultured bacterium
Lineage: Bacteria
Description: bacterial SSU rRNA
Rfam family: Bacterial small subunit ribosomal RNA (bases 1-520)
Source: RNAcentral